CCUACGGGGUGCAGCAGUCGAGAAUCAUUCACAAUGGGGGAAACCCUGAUGGUGCGACGCCGCGUGGGGGAAUGAAGGUCUUCGGAUUGUAAACCCCUGUCAUGUGGGAGCAAAUUAAAAAGAUAGUACCACAAGAGGAAGAGACGGCUAACUCUGUGCCAGCAGCCGCGGUAAUACAGAGGUCUCAAGCGUUGUUCGGAAUCACUGGGCGUAAAUCGUGCGUUGGCUGUUUCGUAAGUCGUGUGUGAAAGGCGCGGGCUCAACCCGCGGACGGCACAUGAUACUGCGAGACUAGAGUAAUGGAGGGGGAACCGGAAUGCUCGGUGUAGCAGUGAAAUGCGUAGAUAUCGAGAGGAACACUCGUGGCGAAGGCGGGUUCCUGGACAUUAACUGACGCUGAGGCACGAUGGCCAGGGGAGCGAAAGGGAUUAGAUACCCCAGUAGUC
This 446-nucleotide ribosomal RNA is filed under the name uncultured bacterium. RNAcentral describes it as "partial 16S ribosomal RNA". It matches the Rfam family "Bacterial small subunit ribosomal RNA", at positions 338 to 795 of the family's 1533-position model. The record is from RNAcentral.